This is a non-coding RNA of Triticum aestivum (bread wheat), 115 nucleotides long. Lineage: Eukaryota; Viridiplantae; Streptophyta; Magnoliopsida; Poales; Poaceae. The record is from Rfam.
UAAGUACUCCCUCUGUUCCAAAUUACUCGUCGCAGAAAUGGAUAUAUCUAGAACUAAAAUACAUCUAGAUACAUCCAUACCUACGACAAGUAAUUCGGAACGGAGGGAGUAAUAA